RNAcentral lists this ribosomal RNA (360 nucleotides) under uncultured bacterium. Its description in RNAcentral is "partial 16S ribosomal RNA". It matches the Rfam family "Bacterial small subunit ribosomal RNA", at positions 338 to 691 of the family's 1533-position model. The record is from RNAcentral.
CCUACGGGAGGCAGCAGUAGGGAAUUUUCGUCAAUGGGCGCAAGCCUGAACGAGCAAUGCCGCGUGAACGAGGAAGGUCUUAGGAUCGUAAAGUUCUGUUGAAGGGGAAAAAGAGCGGAGAGCGGAAAUGCUUUCUGAUUGAUAUUACCCUUCGAGGAAGUCACGGCUCACUACGUGCCAGCAGCCGCGGUAAUACGUAGGUGGCGUGCGUUAUCCGGAUUGAUUGGGCGUAAAGGGUGCGUAGGCGGCCUGUUAAGUCUGGAGUGAAAGGUACCGGCUCAACCGGUACAGUCUAUGGGAACUGGCGGGCGAGAGAGCAGGAGAGGGCGGUGGAACUCCGUGGGUAGCGGUAAAAUGCGU